GGAUGAGGAUCUAUAGGAAAGUCUUGAGAGCUGUCAAAGUAAUGUUUUUUCCAGCAGCAAACUCUUAACCUUCUCUUAGAUCUUCUUCUCUGCUUUGUCCCCUGCUCGCCAUGUGAUGAAGAGAUGCUGUGGCUGAGGCAAUGCUCAGCUGCAGCCAUCAGGAUAAAGAAGACACACCGUCAGUUGUUUUAUUUUUGAUCCCAUUUGAAUGUGUCACUCAGCUGUCUUGAAUCAAAGAAAGUGAGAAGGUGCCUUAAACAGUUGUGAUCAGAAACUUCAAACUUACCUUUUUUUUUUUUUUUUCUAGAAGCUAAGUAAAUGGCUGGUGGGCUCCUGUAAAUCAUAACAUUUCUAAAUAUACCUGAGAGUCUCUCUGCCAAGCUGCUGACGAAUACUCUGUCUGUUCCUAUUGACUUCUCUUCCCCCUUCAGAUUACUUUUGCUUUGAAUAGUUUCAAAUCAUAAAGCAAAAAAAAUAAAAUAAAAAAAAUCAUGUAAUGAGACUAGCUGAUGCUGUGAUUAAUGAAAGUGUAAUGAGAGCUACCAUACAGCCAUUACAAACCAGUUAGCUAAUUAGUGUAAUCACAGAGGUGGAAAUAAUUAAAAGACCACAAAGCAGAAGUAGCCUAAUAACAGCCUUUUCCUCUGACCCAGAACUGGAGAGAAAAGGAUGCUUUGGUUUGCUGGGUCAGGGCCAAAAAGGAACUGAGACUGAAGGGCCUGGAAGCAACCACGGUGCGUGAGGUGUCAGGGCUGGAUCAGACAAGGAUAAAUGGAGCAGAUUUACACCCGUGUAACCCAGAUUGCAUCCGAGUCCUCUGCCGAUGGCACCACGUUACAGCAGCCCUCUCCCAGCUCUUUCCAUUGCCUGCCCGUUCCCUCACCAAGCCCUGAGCAUCCCCUCUCCAACACCUGCUGCACUGCAAAGAAAAGAAGAGUGGUGGUAAACUGAUCCGGAGAUGGCACUGAUGGUGAGGCAGGAUCCGACCUGCUCUCUUCCUUUCUUAUUUUUUUGUCCAUUUUUGUUUUUUUCACAGGUCAUUGACAAAGGCUUUAUUCACCUUGCAGCCAAACUUGGUUUCUGGAGGGGGAGAAACCAGCAUCCUAAGGUGCUUUUAGAAGAACCCCCUGUUUGAGGAUUCUUCUUAUUUUUAUAGUUUAUAUGUAUGUCUGUAUGCCAUUCACUCUGAUUUCACAGGACUCUAACCACUGGUUGAAAAAUCUCCUGCUAACAGGGAGAAGUCUGGGCCAAGGGUGCGGUGCUGGGGUGUGUGGUGCUCAUCUCCAGAGCUGCGGCUGUGAGCAGGGCACCAAGCGGCUCUGUUGUCCUCACCUCCUGGCACCGACAACCCCGAGUCACUGGGUGAACCCAAAACAACCCUGAAAUGCUGCUCAGCUGCUUCUCCAAGGGGUCUCCCAUCCAGGACCGCUAAUGAGAGACGCAGGAUGGUGUGCGGAGCUGGAUUUCACCCUGGUAAUUAGAAGUGACCUACCUCUUGCUGCAAGAUGAAAUAGCUCCAUUUGACGGGCUAUAAAAAAUCCUAACUGGUAAUUUUCCAGUUGGGAUGGGUCAUCGUUGCGGCCAUCUCCAUCGGCUCUUAUCAUUUCUGCCACGGUUCUGUGUGUGUUUCAUUUGACCCGGGUAUAAUGAGCAAAGGAGAAGAAAGUAGCUGCAGACACACAAUCAACGAUCAUCUGCCGGAGCUGAUGAAUAUGCCAAGACUGCUAAGUGGGUCCUCAUUAGCUAUUCACAUGCUAAGAGCCAUCUUUAUUUGUUCUUCUCUCCUAGGUGGAUCUAUAUUUGAAUAUCUUUACUAUAUCCACCCAGGGGGUGGAUGGAGGAUUACCACCACUGUCAGGUAACCCGAGUAUUUUCCUGGAAAAAAAUAGAUCGUGACACCAAGCUGGCAGCAGGCUGAAAAGAAGAAACAAUGUGAUGCCAUUUAGCGAGGGAAGAAAUAAUUUUCCCUGAUGACACCUCUAGUGGGAGGCAGAACUUUAUCUUCCCCUCGCAGCUCAAAUGGAGCAUCACAGCAGUAGCAUUAAGUUUGCUUCCACGUUUCCAACGUGUCUUUUCAUUGACUAUUUUUUUUUUUGGCUGUAGCUGUGCAAACAGAUUUCCAGGGUAAGAGCAGGGGCUGUCCUGCUCGGAGGGUUUGCAGGGCUGUGGGUGGCAAUGCAAGGCCAGGGCAUCCCAUCCAGCUGCAGCCAAAGGGACCCCUCUGCAGCUCUGUGUGCCCGCUGGUGAGCAGGGUUUGAACUUUCUCCUUUCGGCUUUCUGUAAAAGCUGCAGUUCUUUGUGUGCUGGGACAGGGGCUGGCUCUUUGCAGGAUGCUUCUCCCCUCCCUGGAGCAUCCAUCCGCGGGGAAGGCUGCCCUCUCCCGACACGAGGAGCGAGGCAGCAGCUGAGCUGCACCCAGCACCCUCGGCCAGCACCCACCCUGCUCCCAUCCGCACCCUGCAGGGCCCAGAGAUGUCCCUGUCUGGUGAGCCCAACACAACCCGAGGUGUCCCCAAGGUGUCCUGACCCCCCCACCAGCUCCAGGAUCCAGCCUGCAUCCCUCCUCCAGCAUCGUGUGGGAGCUGCUUGGGAAACCACCCCACUCACAGCAUCUCUUCUGCACAGGGUUGCCUUCUCACCUGCCCCAUUCCUGCUCUCCCAGGUGUGCCCAGCACCUUUUUUAAAAAAAAAAUAAAAAUCUGACAGUGUGUGGGUGAGCAACAUAUUCAUCUGUGUGAGCUAUUUCCAGCUGAGUCUGUAUGUGCUGGAGACGGUGGGGUGACAAAGAAGCAAAGUCACAUUUGUUUGUGUGCUGCUCCAGGAAAGCAUUUUUCUAUGAGCAGCAACCCACAAGUAAGCGCUUGCACCUCCAGGGUUUGCAAACAGCUGAUCUAGGAGAGAUUACUUUUUUUUUUUUUCUUUGUGCUUUUGACCUUAUUUGCUGAAAAUGAAACAUCAUCUAACCUUCCAGGAAAUGCCACAAUUCUUCGAUCUGACAGAAGAACAUAAAUCUUCCCUAAGUGCACAGCAGCUCAGGGCUCAGCUGGAACUGAGCAGGAUCUGGGCAUCCCAAACCAGGGCCAGCGGGACCCGAGCCACGCACCUCUCCUGUCCAGAGAGCAGCAGCCUCAUGGGACUGGUCGUUGCCUUUGGGCUGAGCUGGUUUUCCAUCAGUUAUUCAUGGAAAAAAAAAAUGGGUUUUGGGGGUCUGAAUCACUUUGAUCCUGUUAAAGUUUAGUGGGACCCUUCCCUCCCAGGUUGGACUGAAACAAUCACACACUGCCCUGCCCCAUAUCCCCAGUCAUCUCUGGGGAGCAGAAGGCUCGUGAAAGCCAUUGCAAAGCUGAAAUUUCGGGCUCUGCAGGUGGAGUGGACAUGGUGAGAGGCCUUGCAGAGUGUAAUAGCCCUGUUGCUUUCUCAGUUUUCCCCCACCACAUUUCUUGAGCAGGAUGCUGCGGCUUCCUUCUCUGUCCGUGCCGCCAGCCCUCGCGGUUUCCACCUCCCCAGCUAUUUCGGGGGACCCGUGGUUGUGCUGAAGGUUUGAAGGGGCCAGAGAGGGAACUGGAACGUGUCAUGCUGCUCACCACAUGGGGCCUGAGCAGCCCUGAGGGUUGGCUGAAGGUAGGAACUACGUGUGGGAAAGCGCAGCUCAUGCUGCGCUGCUUUCCACCACCCACUCAUCGAGAGCUCCGUUUGCUCAAGUGCACGCUUUUAGACCCAAGCUGUUGGUGCUUCACACAGGGCAUAGUCAUCCACGUGCAGGUCUCUCUCCUUCUUGGCUUGCUGCUAGAGCAGGCCUCCCCUAGGCCCCGCAGGAAUCAGAGCUGUGUUUUCCUCUGGAUCAGGUCUGGGACAGUCCUUCUGGGGAGGAGGAAUUUAACUGAACCCGCAAUGCUAAUAGUACCAUUAUCCCCAUCCCAAAAUCCACAGAAAUAUAAAGUUGCUUUUUCUUUUUUUUUCUUUUUUUUUUUUUUAAUCUUGACCAACUUUCCUUGUUUUACCACUAGAUGGGAGAGUGAGACUGGUCUAACGCAGCCGCUCCCGUCUUUAUCCCAACAGGAAUUCAGAGGGGAGUUGGGAAUUGAGAAAUACACUCAAGUCAAUUCUCUGGUGCCAGGGGCAGAACUGAAGACACAUCCUGCACAUUUUCUGACCUCGGGAAUGGAGUGGGUAAACCCCAAAAAUGUAUUUUGGGCCGUGUUAUGGGUGAACCCCAAAAGUGCAUGGCUGUGGCAGCACCGAUGCUUGCGUGUCCCUGUGGCAGCUCCUCUGCCCUCAUGCGAGGAAGAAUCAGGAUUGGGUGUGUUUUGGGAAUUACAGAGUUGCAGAAGCACUUUCUCCACCAAACCAAAGAUUGCCCAAUUGGCCUAUUUUUUUGUUAUUAUAUGGUUUGGGGUUUGCAAGAAUGACCAUGUCUUCUUUCUUCCUGGGAUUUCACAGAUUCUGGAAGAAAUCUUAUAACAGCCAAAUUUUCUGACUGCCUGCAUGACUAGUGCAGAAUACGCAACCCCUGUAAUUUGAAAAUCAUCUUUUGGGCGUUUUGCUGCCUACCCAACCUCCUCAGUUCACAAGCUUUUUAGAGAAGUGACGCACCUGAUUUGUUUAAUGUCUGGGCCAGUUGUGCCCUAAAAUUAAAUAAUCCUGAUAAACCUCCCAAACUGCAAUGCCCUCGUUGCCUCUUUUGGGGUUUCCUGGUUGUGCUCCUAUAGGAAACAUCUGCCGUUAUCAUGCUAGAGAGAAAUACCAGGUUCGUUGGAAGAGGAAGCUGGGUUCUUACUGGAUGCAGUUACUCCUGUUUUCCACAAACCACCUCCCACUCCGUGCGUGCAGUGCUGCUGCUGAGUCACCCAGCACGGAGCAAGCAUCCUGCUCGGGAUGGGGAGGACAAAUUCCCCAAAGGAGCUGAUAAAUACAGAUGAAAAAAAUGUUGCCUGGAAGCAAUAAACCAAUUGAAAUUCCAGCUCUGGCAGGGUCAGGGCACGCUCGCUUGUGCAAAUGCAGCUUCUUGCUGCGGGGUUCAUGGCGGUACAGGAACAGCCCUGGCUAAAGGUGUGGCUGGGGUCACCUGGAUCUGGGCACAUGUGGGACUUGGGAUGGGGAUGAGGAGCAUCCAUGGGGUGUUUCUAAUGGACAGUAUUCAUAUAUCUACCUCUGGCCAUGUAUUCUUGUGUGAGAAGUCACCGCCCUUAGCCAAGUGCCUAUUGCUCCCUGUGAUCCUCAUUCAUAAAGCACUGGGUGAGCAGGAGGACAUAUGAAAGCUCCUGUGGUACAGGACCACUGCCAUAACACUGCUCUGCUUUUCUCUGGUCCCAAUCUUUACAUCCCUUUCCUAUCAUCUCCCCUUUCCAUCCUGGAAGACAAGAAAAGAGCACUAACCGGGGAGAGGAGCUGCAAAAACAGGUGUGCGAUGUGCACCCAGGACCCAAGGGGCCAACUUCUGACCUCUGCUGAGUGCUGGAGAUGCCACAGCUUGUCACUGUCUGAUAGCUGCCAGCGUGCCGAAUGCCAAGUCAUUCUUCAGCAAUGAGAUGUUGAGCUGAUUAAGGUUUUAAUUAGAACAAGGAAGCGGCACGUGCAAGGACGGCUUCAGAUGAGAAAGACGUGGCAGCUGCCAAGAUAGAGCUGCUCCUGGCUGUAUCCCAUCAACCUUUCUGGUGAAUGGCACUGAGCCUUCAGUUUGCUCUGCUGCAGGGCUAGGAGAGGAAAAAGGAUUUGAGCAUGGCCCAAAGCUGUGGUUAGUGGGGCUUAUUUCAGGAGUGCUCAGCUACCUGUGAAACCCAAGCCUGGCCAUAUGGAUGGGGCAGAGUCCAGGGUGACUGGCCUGCAUUCCUGGCAUUUACUGCACUCAUAAACAGCCCUGGCAGCGACAGGAAGGGUGCAAACUUUGAACUUAUAAUGCAUCAGCACCGAGACCAAGAUGGAGUAGAAGACACACAAAAAAAAAAAAAAGUGUGUUGCUGCAGGCUGCAGCCAGAGCCCUUUGGUAGCUGCCUGCCAGCAUCGCAGCAUCUGUGUGGAUUCUCGUGACGGUGAUCAAGGGCAGCUCCAUCGAGUGGGAAAGGAGACAGAGGAGUUUUCUUCUUCCCCAGGGACACACACAGCUCCCAGCCAAGGUGCAGAGGCUGCCCGUGCUGGUGGACAGGCACAAAUCAGGUGAAAAAUGCUCCAUGGUGAGCACCUGCCCCAGCACACUGUGACAUCCCCCAGGUGGGAGCUCUGCACCAAGGGGUAGAGCCGAUAUUUGCUCGGAUCCUGAUGCACACAGACUUGCAGGCGCUUUGGAUUUCACAAUCGGGUCCAAUCUCUCCUUUAGACCUUGAUCCUGCAAGGAGCACUAUAAGGAUGGAUUUUAGAAAUCAGAUAGAGCUGGCGAGAUCUGGGCCUUAUCUAAGAUAGCAAAAUAAUCAGCCAUGUGAUUUCUUCCCUGUGUUUACAGUGGCAAUAUUUUUCCAAAGUUCAAAGUCUUCCUCUGCAGAAAACAUUUGCCAUACUUUGCAGUGAUACUGUAGUUUUGGUGCAAUGAACAAUUAAAAAAAUCAAUUUCUAGAGCAAUAUUUUCUAUGCUAGUAAUCUCUGAACUAAUUACAGGGCUGGAAAAUCAAUAACUAUCUGGAAAUCUUUCCAAUACAGCUAACUAAGCACGCUACAUAUCAUGCUGCAAUAUAUCCUUCACAUACACGUGAUAUUCCUGAUUAUCUCCCAGAUCAUACAGGCAGAUGAGAUCGCUGUCAGUAAGCGUCUGUACUUUGCUACGCUGCAGUGCCAACUUUCACUAAAAUCCAAAGGGGAAUCUGGGCAGAGAGAAUAGCACAGUGUGUGAGGGCUGCGGCAACACUCAUAAAAGCCAAGGCUUUAAGCCAACAACAAAAAGAGUUAAAAGGCUUGGUCAGUUUAACAGGAAUCUUUCUUUGAAAAGAUUAUGAAACAAAGUCAUUAAAAGUUCAAGCCUCAGUUAUAUUGCUUUUUCAUCAGACUUUAUUU
Molecule: non-coding RNA, 6981 nt
Organism: Anas platyrhynchos (mallard)
Lineage: Eukaryota; Metazoa; Chordata; Aves; Anseriformes; Anatidae
Source: RefSeq, a predicted model, not a curated record